AGAGUUUGAUCCUGGCUCAGAACGGACGCUGGCGGCAUGCCUAACACAUGCAAGUCGAACGCUCGGAGCGAUCCGGGAGUGGCGGACGGGUGAGUAACGCGUGGGAACCUGCCCUGGAGUGUGGGAUAACCGAGGGAAACUUCGGCUAAUACCGCAUACGACCUGAGGGUGAAAGAUUUAUCGCUCUAGGAGGGGCCCGCGUCGGAUUAGCUAGUUGGUGGGGUAACGGCUCACCAAGGCGAUGAUCCGUAGCUGGUCUGAGAGGAUGAUCAGCCACACUGGGACUGAGACACGGCCCAGACUCCUACGGGAGGCAGCAGUGGGGAAUAUUGGACAAUGGGGGCAACCCUGAUCCAGCAAUGCCGCGUGAGUGAUGAAGGCCUUAGGGUUGUAAA
Molecule: ribosomal RNA, 395 nt
Filed under: uncultured bacterium
Lineage: Bacteria
Description: bacterial SSU rRNA
Rfam family: Bacterial small subunit ribosomal RNA
Source: RNAcentral